CGGCUGACGAGCUCCACCUGCCCGGGUUUGUUGUUCGGAGUUUGCUCUCCUAGGAAGAUUGCCUACCACGGCUGACGACCUCCACCUGCCCGGGUUUGUUGUUCGGAGUUUGCUCUCCUAGGUGAAUUGCCUACCACGGCUAACGACCUCCACCUGCCCGGGUUUGUUGUUCGGAGUUUGCUCUCCUAGGUGAAUUGCCUCCCACGGCUAACGACCUCCACCUGCCCGGGUUUGUUUAGAGUUUGCUCUCCUAGGUGAAUUGCCUCCCACGGCUAACGACCUCCACCUGCCCGGGUUUAUUGUUCGGAGUUUGCUCUCCUAGGUGAAUUGCCUCCCACGGCUAACGACCUCCACCUGCCCGGGUUUAUUGUUCGGAGUUUGCUCUCCUAGGUGAAUUGCCUCCCACGGCUAACGACCUCCACCUGCCCGGGUUUGUAUAGAGUUUGCUCUCCUAGGUGAAUUGCCUACCACGGCUAACGACCUCCACCUGCCCGGGUUUAUUGUUCGGAGUUUGCUCUCCUAGGUGAAUUGCCUACCACGGCUAACGACCUCCACCUGCCCGGGUUUGUAUAGAGUUUGCUCUCCUAGGUGAAUUGCCUACCACGGCUAACGACCUCCACCUGCCCGGGUUUGUAUAGAGUUUGCUCUCCUAGGUGAAUUGCCUACCACGGCUAACGACCUCCACCUGCCCGGGUUUAUUGUUCGGAGUUUGCUCUCCUAGGUGAAUUGCCUCCCACGGCUAACGACCUCCACCUGCCCGGGUUUGUAUAGAGUUUGCUCUCCUAGGUGAAUUGCCUACCACGGCUAACGACCUCCACCUGCCCGGGUUUGUAUAGAGUUUGCUCUCCUAGGUGAAUUGCCUACCACGGCUAACGACCUCCACCUGCCCGGGUUUGUAUAGAGUUUGCUCUCCUAGGUGAAUUGCCUACCACGGCUAACGAGCCUCACCUGCCCGGGUUUGUAUAGAGUUUGCUCUCCUAGGCAGAUUGCCUACCACGGCUAACGACCUCCACCUGCCCGGGUUUGUAGCCGGAAGAUCUCCGGCACCUCCAUCGGGGCCCCGAGGGACGCCGAGGAGCCCUGCCUGGAGCCCUGCAUUCCUGGCAUGCUCGCCAGGGAGACCUUGGGCUCGCUGGCGCUCCACACCCCCGCCGAGGCGAGGAUGCAAGAACUCGCUUCUUAAAACUACCAGACUGGAUUAUAAAAUUAAUCAUAAUUACUGUGAAGGCGCCGGUCACCGCGUUUAUCGGUUCAGGGAUGGAAGACCGACGGGCCUGGGAAACGCGCACAAGCAUCCAAAGGAAUCCUCGCGACGGCUUGCGACGCAGCAUCCGUUUCCCUUUUCUUUCUCAUUCCAAUUUUUCUUUUUUAUUAUAUUUUCCUUCUCUGA
Eriocheir sinensis (Chinese mitten crab) is the source of this 1390-nucleotide long non-coding RNA. RefSeq lists it as uncharacterized. The record is from RefSeq and is a predicted model, not a curated record. The transcript is spliced from 4 exons. NCBI's taxonomy places the organism in Eukaryota, Metazoa, Arthropoda, Malacostraca, Decapoda, Varunidae.